GCUCUCUCUAUUGGCAGUACAUAUACUAAAAUUGGAAAGAUACAGAGAAGAUUAACAUAGCCCUUGCACAAGGCCCACUGCUUAUAACAUAACCAAAGGGGUUUU
This is a small nuclear RNA of Phodopus roborovskii (desert hamster), 105 nucleotides long. Lineage: Eukaryota; Metazoa; Chordata; Mammalia; Rodentia; Cricetidae. The record is from RefSeq and is a predicted model, not a curated record.